This 305-nucleotide ribosomal RNA is filed under the name uncultured bacterium. RNAcentral's name for it is "partial 16S ribosomal RNA". It matches the Rfam family "Bacterial small subunit ribosomal RNA", at positions 505 to 808 of the family's 1533-position model. The record is from RNAcentral.
ACAGCAGCAGCCGCGGGAAUACGUAGGUGGCAAGCGUUGUCCGGAAUUAUUGGGCGUAAAGGGCUCGCAGGCGGUUUCUUAAGUCUGAUGUGAAAGCCCCCGGCUCAACCGGGGAGGGUCAUUGGAAACUGGGAAACUUGAGUGCAGAAGAGGAGAGUGGAAUUCCACGUGUAGCGGUGAAAUGCGUAGAGAUGUGGAGGAACACAGUGGCGAAGGCGACUCUCUGGUCUGUAACUGACGCUGAGGAGCGAAAGCGUGGGGAGCGAACAGGAUUAGAUACCCGCGUAGUCCCUGUCUCUUAUACA